This 499-nucleotide ribosomal RNA is filed under the name Mycobacterium tuberculosis. RNAcentral describes it as "bacterial SSU rRNA". It matches the Rfam family "Bacterial small subunit ribosomal RNA", at positions 308 to 801 of the family's 1533-position model. The record is from RNAcentral. Lineage: Bacteria; Bacillati; Actinomycetota; Actinomycetes; Mycobacteriales; Mycobacteriaceae.
GCGUAGAUGUGUAUAAGAGACAGCCUGGCCUACGGGUGGCAGCAGUAGGGAAUCAUCCGCAAUGGGCGAAAGCCUGACGGUGCAACGCCGCGUGAGUGAGGAAGGUUUUCGGAUCGUAAAACUCUGUUGUUAGGGAAGAACAAGUACCGUUCGAAUAGGUCGGUACCUUGACGGUACCUAACCAGAAAGCCACGGCUAACUACGUGCCAGCAGCCGCGGUAAUACGUAGGUGGCAAGCGUUGUCCGGAAUUAUUGGGCGUAAAGCGCGCGCAGGCGGUCCUUUAAGUCUGAUGUGAAAGCCCACGGCUCAACCGUGGAGGGUCAUUGGAAACUGGGAGACUUGAGUGUAAGAGAGGAAAGUGGAAUUCCACGUGUAGCGGUGAAAUGCGUAGAUAUGUGGAGGAACACCAGUGGCGAAGGCGACUUUCUGGCCUAUAACUGACGCUGAGGCGCGAAAGCGUGGGGAGCAAACAGGAUUAGAUACCCCUGUAGUCUAGUA